UACGGGGGGAGCAAGCGUUGUUCGGAUUUACUGGGCGUAAAGGGCGCGUAGGCGGUCAGCACAAGUCAGUUGUGAAAUCUCCGGGCUUAACUCGGAAAGGUCAACUGAUACUGUGCGACUAGAGUGCAGAAGGGGCAACUGGAAUUCUCGGUGUAGCGGUGGAAUGCGUAGAGAUCGGGAAGAACAUCAGUGGCGAAGGCGGUCUGCUGGGCCGUUGCUGACGCUGAGGCGCGACAGCGUGGGGAGCAAACAGG
This 254-nucleotide ribosomal RNA is filed under the name uncultured bacterium. RNAcentral describes it as "partial 16S ribosomal RNA". It matches the Rfam family "Bacterial small subunit ribosomal RNA", at positions 524 to 776 of the family's 1533-position model. The record is from RNAcentral.